ACUAGUAUUUGGAUACUUUUAGUUUUAGUUGUUUUGGCCUUCUCUAUCCAAGGUGUGAAAAAUGGCAAUUUCUAUAUUUCUGGGAAAUUAAUUUUCAAGGUUGACUUUUAGCCAGUAACCUGGAGUGUUAACAUAGUCCAUAUGUCUGACUAGUGAAGGUUGACUGAAAAGUAUGGAAGCUCUAGUGAAAGUCCAUUUUUCCUGCUCCUUUUUGCUAAUCACAGGAUUCCAUUAUACUGACAAUAAUCUACAGUUAUUCGGAUCUGAAUGCUGAUCCCCGGUGAAGCUGGGAUGGAGGUAAAAUAUGUGGACUUUUUUCUCUGUAGUGCUGCUUUUCAUGUUGAGCAAACAUGCAGCACUUAUAAUUUGUUCUCCUGUAGUAUUUGUCAUCUUUUUAGCACUCUCUUAAGAUUAUAAUUCCCGCCCAAUAUUUUCUUUUUAAACUACAUCUCAUUUAAAUACACGCUUUGUGUUUUCUUAAAAUAAAUACUGUCAUGCAGCUCUUCUACUUCCUUUAUUGAGAAAACAGUAAUACUCAUACGAUUGUGGAAAAAAAGUUGAGAGGGAGGGAGAGACAGGGAAAGGAAACAGAAAUCAUAACCAAAAAGUUCGCACUGAUUAUUGAAAUAGUCAGUGCUCCCUUGGGCUGCGGGGAAGGGAAAGGCACUUUUACAGUGUUUUGGAACAUUUUUCUUCUUCACGAUUCUGACUUUUCACCACGUAUUUAUGCUACAUUGAGAGAGGAGAAGAAGAGAAAAAGAGCUCAGAGGUUUUACAAUGAACAUUGCAGUGGGCAUACCAUGGAGCCAGACCACCAGCAGAGCAUUAAACAAGGACAGAUGUGAAUGCCAGGAUAAAAAUGAAGACAUUCCUGAAGUCAAGACAUCUCACCCUAUCACUAGCACACUUUUGGGUAUUAUGAAGAAAAAGAUUGAAAUUCACCUGGGAGCGCAUGCUGCUAAACCAAGCUCAUGUAUGAAAUUGACAGCUCAUAAGGUAAAAGGCCUUUACUUCAAAAUGACAGCAGCGCUCUGA
Molecule: long non-coding RNA, 1035 nt
Filed under: Coturnix japonica (Japanese quail)
Lineage: Eukaryota; Metazoa; Chordata; Aves; Galliformes; Phasianidae
Description: lncRNA (ENSCJPG00005010151.1)
Source: RNAcentral